CAGCAGCCGCGGUAAUACAGAGGGUGCAAGCGUUAAUCGGAAUUACUGGGCGUAAAGCGCGCGUAGGUGGUUCGCCAAGUUGGAUGUGAAAUCCCCGGGCUCAACCUGGGAACUGCAUCCAAAACUGGCGAGCUAGAGUAUGGUAGAGGGUGGUGGAAUUUCCUGUGUAGCGGUGAAAUGCGUAGAUAUAGGAAGGAACAUCAGUGGCGAAGGCGACCACCUGGACUGAUACUGACACUGAGGUGCGAAAGCGUGGGGAGCAAACAGGAUUAGAUACCCCCGUAGUCCCUGUCUCUUAUAC
Molecule: ribosomal RNA, 301 nt
Filed under: uncultured bacterium
Lineage: Bacteria
Description: partial 16S ribosomal RNA
Rfam family: Bacterial small subunit ribosomal RNA
Source: RNAcentral